This 497-nucleotide ribosomal RNA is filed under the name uncultured bacterium. RNAcentral's name for it is "partial 16S ribosomal RNA". It matches the Rfam family "Bacterial small subunit ribosomal RNA", at positions 28 to 507 of the family's 1533-position model. The record is from RNAcentral.
GACGAACGCUGGCGGCGUGCCUAAUACAUGCAAGUUGAGCGCUGAAGGUUGGUACUUGUACCAACUGGAUGAGCAGCGAACGGGGGAGUAACGCGUGGGGAAUCUGCCUUUGAGCGGGGGACAACAUUUGGAAACGAAUGCUAAUACCGCAUAAAAACUUUAAACACAAGGUUUAAGUUUGAAAGAUGCAAUUGCAUCACUCAAAGAUGAUCCCGCGUUGUAUUAGCUAGUUGGUGAGGUAAAGGCGCACCAAGGCGAUGAUACAUAGCCGACCGGAGAGGGUGAUCGGCCACAUUGGGACUGAGACACGGCCCAAACUCCUACGGGAGGCAGCAGUAGGGAAUCUUCGGCAAUGGACGAAAGUCUGACCGAGCAACGCGGCGUGAGUGAAGAAGGUUUUCGGAUCGUAAAACUCUGUUGGUAGAGAAGAACGUUGGUGAGAGUGGAAAGCUCAUCAAGUGACGGUAACUACCCAGAAAGGGACGGCUAACUACGUG